Exiguobacterium sp. AT1b is the source of this 228-nucleotide non-coding RNA. Lineage: Bacteria; Bacillati; Bacillota; Bacilli; Caryophanales. The record is from Rfam.
UAUAAAUCGAGGAUUGAGAAGAGUAGCGCGAGAAGACGUUUCGUCCAGAGAGUCAGGGAUGGUGAGAUCCUGACCGAGGCGUCCGCGUGAAUGGGCUCAUGAGAGCAUGGCUGAAGAGAGUAGGUCGUGACGGUUUCCCCCGUUAUCGGGAUACGAUGUGAUUGCAUCGGAGAGUGGAUUCUUUUGAAUCAACGAGAGGUGGCACCGCGGUCUUGAACCGUCCUCCAU